RNAcentral lists this transfer RNA (72 nucleotides) under Felis catus (domestic cat). It matches the Rfam family "tRNA". From Rfam's summary of the family: Transfer RNA (tRNA) molecules are approximately 80 nucleotides in length. Their secondary structure includes four short double-helical elements and three loops (D, anti-codon, and T loops). Further hydrogen bonds mediate the characteristic L-shaped molecular structure. tRNAs have two regions of fundamental functional importance: the anti-codon, which is responsible for specific mRNA codon recognition, and the 3' end, to which the tRNAs corresponding amino acid is attached (by aminoacyl-tRNA synthetases). tRNAs cope with the degeneracy of the genetic code in two manners: having more than one tRNA (with a specific anti-codon) for a particular amino acid; and 'wobble' base-pairing, i.e. permitting non-standard base-pairing at the 3rd anti-codon position. Lineage: Eukaryota; Metazoa; Chordata; Mammalia; Carnivora; Felidae. The record is from Rfam by way of RNAcentral.
GCCUGGGUGGCUCAGUCAGUUAAGCAUCUGACUUUGGCUCAGGUUGCAUGGGUUUGAGCUCCACAUCAGGCU